GUCUGGGUGGUGUAGUUGGUGAUCACAUUAGUCUCACACACUAAAGGUCUCCAGUUCGAACCUGGACUCAGAAA
RNAcentral lists this transfer RNA (74 nucleotides) under Oryza sativa Indica Group (long-grained rice). RNAcentral describes it as "tRNA tRNA-Val". It matches the Rfam family "tRNA". From Rfam's summary of the family: Transfer RNA (tRNA) molecules are approximately 80 nucleotides in length. Their secondary structure includes four short double-helical elements and three loops (D, anti-codon, and T loops). Further hydrogen bonds mediate the characteristic L-shaped molecular structure. tRNAs have two regions of fundamental functional importance: the anti-codon, which is responsible for specific mRNA codon recognition, and the 3' end, to which the tRNAs corresponding amino acid is attached (by aminoacyl-tRNA synthetases). tRNAs cope with the degeneracy of the genetic code in two manners: having more than one tRNA (with a specific anti-codon) for a particular amino acid; and 'wobble' base-pairing, i.e. permitting non-standard base-pairing at the 3rd anti-codon position. Lineage: Eukaryota; Viridiplantae; Streptophyta; Magnoliopsida; Poales; Poaceae. The record is from Rfam by way of RNAcentral.